Molecule: ribosomal RNA, 433 nt
Filed under: uncultured bacterium
Lineage: Bacteria
Description: partial 16S ribosomal RNA
Rfam family: Bacterial small subunit ribosomal RNA
Source: RNAcentral
AACGAACGCUGGCGGCAUGCCUAACACAUGCAAGUCGAACGAAACCUUCGGGUCUAGUGGCGCACGGGUGCGUAACGCGUGGGAACCUGCCCUUAGGUUCGGCAUACCUCCCCGAAAGGGGUGCUAAUACCGGAUAAUGUCUUCGGACCAAAGAUUUAUCGCCUUUGGUUGGGCCCGCGUUGGAUUAGCUAGUUGGUAGGGUAAAAGCCUACCAAGGCGACGAUCCAUAGCUGGUCUGAGAGGAUGGUCAGCCACACUGGGACUGAGACACGGCCCAGACUCUUACGCGAGGGAGGAGAGGGGAACAUUGGAAAAUGGGGGAAAGGCUGAUCCAGCAAUGCCGCGUGAGUGAUGAAGGCCGUAGGGUUGUAAAGCUCUUUUAACCGGGAUGAUAAUGACAGUACCGGGAGAAUAAGCUCCGGCUAACUACGUG